GACUGCCUUUGGCAACCACCCCGCCCCAAAAUCUCUUUCUCCGCUGCGCCGCAAACCCACCGCUUCCACCAUCGCCACCCGUCACCCCUUGCUCCCAUAGUCCCCAUACCAUGCCCGACCUCCACCCGCCGGAGCACCAAGUCGCCGGUCACCGCGCCUCCGCCAGCAAGCUGGGCCCACUCAUCGACGACUCUGGCCUCUUCUACAAGCCGCUCCAGGCCGGCGACCGUGGGGAGCACGAGGUCGCCUUCUAUGAGGCGUUCUCCGCCCACGCCGCCGUCCCGGCCCGCAUCCGAGACACCUUCUUCCCCCGGUUCCACGGCACGCGACUCCUCCCCACCGAGGCGCAGCCCGGGGAGCCGCAUCCGCACCUCGUCCUCGACGACCUCCUCGCGGGGUUUGAGGCGCCCUGCGUCGCAGACAUCAAGAUCGGUGCCAUCACGUGACCACGAGCGUUCUGCUCGGAUUCCGCGUCUCCGGCGUCCGAGUCGUCGGCCCCGAGGGCGCCGUGUGGCGGACGGAGCGCCCGGAGGUGAAGGCUAU
Molecule: RNA transcript, 543 nt
Organism: Zea mays
Lineage: Eukaryota; Viridiplantae; Streptophyta; Magnoliopsida; Poales; Poaceae
Gene name: inositol polyphosphate multikinase IPK2 pseudogene
Exons: 1
Source: RefSeq, marked validated